CGCAGCCGCGGUAAUUCCAGCUCCAAUAACGUAUAUUAAAGUUGUUGCAGUUAAAAACUAAGCUCGUAGUUGAAUUUUGAGACCAGCUUACUGGUCGUGCUAUUGUGCGUACUGGUAUAAUCAGUUUCUCCUUUCUGACAAACUAUAAUGCCAUUAAUUUGGUGUUAUAGGGAAUCAGGACUAUUACUUUGAAAAAAUUAGAGUGUUUAAAGCAGGCUUACGCUUGAAUACAUUAGCAUGGAAUAACGGAAUAGGAUGUUUAAUUCUAUUUUGUUAGUUUCUAGGAUCGACGUAAUGAUUAAUAGGGAUAGUUGGAGGCAUUAGUAUUCAAUUGUCAGAGGUGAAAUUCUUGGAUUUAUGAAGACUAACUACUGCGAAAGCAUUUGCCAAGGAUGUUUUCAUUAAUCAAGAAUGAAAGUUAGGGGAUCGAAGACGAUCAGAUACCGUCGUAGUCUUAACCAUAAACUAUGCCAACUAGGGAUUGGAUGAUUGUUAAUUUUUUAAUGACUUCAUUUUGGCC
This 520-nucleotide ribosomal RNA is filed under the name uncultured Glomus. RNAcentral's name for it is "bacterial SSU rRNA". It matches the Rfam family "Eukaryotic small subunit ribosomal RNA", at positions 569 to 1086 of the family's 1831-position model. Lineage: Eukaryota; Fungi; Glomeromycota; Glomeromycetes; Glomerales; Glomeraceae. The record is from RNAcentral.